This 301-nucleotide ribosomal RNA is filed under the name uncultured bacterium. RNAcentral's name for it is "partial 16S ribosomal RNA". It matches the Rfam family "Bacterial small subunit ribosomal RNA", at positions 509 to 809 of the family's 1533-position model. The record is from RNAcentral.
CAGCCGCCACGGUAAUACGUAGGUGGCAAGCGUUGUCCGGAAUUAUUGGGCGUAAAGCGCGCGCGGGCGGAUCAGUCAGUCCAUCUUAAAAGUGCGGGGCUCAACCCCGUGAGGGGAUGGAAACUGUAUGCCUUGAGUGUAGGAGAGGAAAGCGGAAUUCCCAGUGUAGCGGUGAAAUGCGUAGAUAUUGGGAGGAACACCAGUGGCGAAGGCGGCUUUCUGGACUGCAACUGACGCUGAGGCUCGAAAGCCAGGGGAGCGAACGGGAUUAGAUACCCGCGUAGUCCCUGUCUCUUAUACA